Mesocricetus auratus (golden hamster) is the source of this 875-nucleotide long non-coding RNA. RefSeq lists it as uncharacterized. Lineage: Eukaryota; Metazoa; Chordata; Mammalia; Rodentia; Cricetidae. The record is from RefSeq and is a predicted model, not a curated record. The transcript is spliced from 3 exons.
UCUAGGCAUCUCCAAGAUCACCUGCCACGAGCCUUUCAGCUCCGCAUCUCUUCUCAGCAGACCCCAGUCUGCCUAGAUUGCAAUCUGAACUUGUCCUCCUGCCCAGAAACGGACACGGAAGCUCCCAGACCGUUCUGCACCAACUUUUACUUUUUUCUUCUUGAAACUGGCUUAAUCUCCUUGGAAAAAAAGCAACUGAGGCCCAAACUGCAAAAAACACCCAGACAGUACCAGAGCCUGGGGCAGUCAUCACCACAGCCCACAGAAUUGGCUACAAAGGUCCCAGAGGGUCCCAGCCUGGCAGGCUCGGGUGCGCUCCAGGAGAGGGGAGGAGCAGCUGACUCGUGACGGUGGAGGAUCCCCUGAACUCUACCUAAUGUUUGUCUGUGGGUCUGCGUCUGUGUCCAUCAGUUGCUGGAUGGUGCCUCUCUGAUGACGAUUGGGCUAGGUACCAUUCUGGUCACAGGAGGCGGCCACUUCAGGCUAUACAUUUGCUUGCUAUUGCCAGGAGUUAAGCUGGGGUCUUUCUUGCAGAUUCCUGGGAGAUUCCCUUGAGCCAGGUCUUUAUCUGACCCCCAAAUGCACCCCUUUUCCAGUAGUCCCUUUUAGUAAGCCCCCUCCGUCCCCACGACCUGAUCCCUCAUGUUCCCAUCCCCACCCAUACUCUGGCCACUCAUGAAAUCUUUUCUACUUCCCCUUCCCAGGGAGAUAUGGGUGUCCCAUCAUGAGUCCUCCUUGUCACCUAGUCUCUCUAAGGCUAUGGAUAGCAUGGUUAUCCUUUAUUUUAUAGCUAAUAUCCACUUAUGGGUGAGUACACACCAUGUUUGUUUUUCUCGGUCUACCCUAAACAGAAACACGCCAUGUUUUGUUGAUAC